UGGGGAAUAUUGCACAAUGGGCGAAAGCCUGAUGCAGCGACGCCGCGUGAGGGAUGACGGCCUUCGGGUUGUAAACCUCUUUCAGUAGGGACGAAGCGCAAGUGACGGUACCUGCAGAAGAAGCACCGGCUAACUACGUGCCAGCAGCCGCGGUAAUACGUAGGGUGCGAGCGUUGUCCGGAAUUACUGGGCGUAAAGAGCUCGUAGGCGGUUUGUCACGUCGUCUGUGAAAUCCUAGGGCUUAACCCUGGACGUGCAGGCGAUACGGGCUGACUUGAGUACUACAGGGGAGACUGGAAUUUCUGGUGUAGCGGUGGAAUGCAAAGAUAUCAGGGAGGACACCAAUGGCGAAGGGAGGUCUCUGGGUAGUAACUGACGCUGAGGAGCGAAAGCAUGGGUAGCGAACAGG
This 409-nucleotide ribosomal RNA is filed under the name bacterium. Its description in RNAcentral is "partial 16S ribosomal RNA". It matches the Rfam family "Bacterial small subunit ribosomal RNA", at positions 355 to 776 of the family's 1533-position model. The record is from RNAcentral.